This 329-nucleotide ribosomal RNA is filed under the name uncultured eukaryote. RNAcentral's name for it is "partial 18S ribosomal RNA". It matches the Rfam family "Eukaryotic small subunit ribosomal RNA", at positions 1470 to 1796 of the family's 1831-position model. The record is from RNAcentral.
CCCCUAGAUGUUCUGGGCCGCACGCGCGCUACACUGAACAGUUCAACAAGUCUUAACCUUGGCCGAUAGGUCUGGGUAAUCUUUGAACGCUGUUCGUGAUUGGGAUAGACCUUUGCAAUUAUGGGUCUUCAACGAGGAAUUCCUAGUAAACGCAAGUCAUCAGCUUGCAUUGAUUACGUCCCUGCCCUUUGUACACACCGCCCGUCGCACCUACCGAUUGAAUGGUCCGGUGAAAAUUUCGGACAGUGACGAUGCUGGCGGUCCGCCGCCGGCGCUGUCGCUGGAAGAUCUUUAAACCUUAUCAUUUAGAGGAAGGAGAANUCGUANCA